ACCAUUACAUUUUAUUUAAUCUUAAGCCCAAUCGUUCUUACCAUUUUCCUCCCUUUCUUGUUCUUCAACUCCGAUUCCAAUCAAAACUUGUGCUCCAUAUUUCAGUAGCCCCUUCCCCUCAACCUUCUGCCAACAUUGCAAGGUUUUAAUGAUUCCGACUGUGAUUCAAAAUUGGAAGGAUAUUUCAGAGAUUUUCAAGUCCACUUGAACAUAAUCUCCCUAGAACCUACGAGAUUGGUUCCGCCAACACCCAGCAUCGAGGUAUUCUAAUGCUGAUUGGGCUGAGUGUCGGAUUUCUUGCUAUUUCAUCGGCCAAAUCAUGUCUCUUGGAGCUCCACCAAACAACCCACCCGCUCAAUUGCCGACUUUUGCUUGUGCCGAAUCUUUGUGGCUUACCUUUGUUCUUCGUGAACUUCGGUAUCACGUGUCUACUUCAAGUUUAUUGUUUCGUGACAACUACCACUUACUGUUGGGUUACGGCUCAAAGUUAAGAUGAUGCAAAAAUUAGGUUUGUGUCGUCUGUUUCUUUUUUGUGUCCUAAUUGGGUUUGGAUUUGACGUUUUGGUUGGAUUCUUUACUUGGUGGGGAGAUUGUGUUAAUUACCUAUGUGAUUAGGAUUUAGAUUUACUUCCAAUUAGGAUUAGUAUUCUUAUUGUAACCUAACUCUUAUGCACUAUAAAUAGAACCUCAGGGUUAGCGUAUUUUGUGUGCCUUACCAUUAGUUUAGAGAGUUUUCUCUAAUUCAGUUUUGGAUGAAGGUCACCGUUUGGAAUCAUGAGUGGAAAAUUCAUGGCUCAUUCGUUUAGCAAUUUGUUGAGAAUUAAUUUGAGUUAGAGAACAAUUUGGGAGAAUCUUCUUCGUUUGUUUGAGUUCUCUACUCGUUUGGUUUAUGGUUUGUAAUUUGUGAGAUUUGGGUUGUGAGAGUUAAACACUCUUUUGUAACCUCUGUUUGUUUAGUGAAAUUCUUCACCAUGCUUCGCCCUGGGCAUAGGCUUUGCACCAAACCACGUUAAAUCUCGUGUUCA
Molecule: long non-coding RNA, 1025 nt
Organism: Malus domestica (apple)
Lineage: Eukaryota; Viridiplantae; Streptophyta; Magnoliopsida; Rosales; Rosaceae
Source: RefSeq, a predicted model, not a curated record